UGGCUUAUAAAAUGAUGAAACCCUUAAGAUUCUCUCAUGGCAGUGUGGGAGAAUGACAUCACAUCUGAUACUUCUCUGACGUUGUCGUUUAAGGUAAGAUGUUUCCCGUCAUCAUACACACGACGAAAGGACGAGCUGAUGUAUCAAUACUUCCGAACCUACUACAUAGUCACAUACAUCAUAUGAAGUAAGUUCUUUGAAUUGGUUAAGUGAAAGUUUCCGUUUAGUUGUAUUUUAAUAUGGAAUGUUUGAUUCAUUAUGAUAUGCAUUAAAGCGAAAUGAAAUGAUUUAUAAUGAUCAUCGUAUAUUCUAUUUUAAUAUUUGCGACGGGGACGUAUCCCACUUAGGACUUAGACUUUCUUCCAAAAAACGGAGUACAUGUACUUAGUUGCACUUAAACAUUAAUGAUGAAUGUCGGAAACAUCAGUCAAUUGUUCAUUUCCUGUAUUCAAAGUUUACGAAUUUAGUUAAACAUCUAUAACUUUUAAGAUGAAAUCAUAGACUGUUGUAUGAUUAAUCCUCAGUGGCAAAUAUUUCAUGCAUACCGCUUAAAAUGACAUGAUUUCUUACAUCAAUGUUAGAAUGUACAUAUUUUUUAAAAAGCUUCAACAAAGCAGUUCUUUCUCCAAAAUGCCAAUACUGGGCAUGUUGCGUGUAUUUAGUGUUCAAUGAACACUUCAAUAUAAUAUAAGAGAGAGUACUGUAUCAGUGUGACUAUUUACCACAAGAGUUCAAAUGACUGACGAGUAUAUAAGCGAUUAAAGGUCACCAUACGCAUACGGCCUUCAACAAUGAAACAACUUAUACCGUAUAGUCGGUUAUAAAAGGGCUUCGACAUAAAAAUGUGAAACAAAUGGAUAUGAUAUAUUUGGUCUUAUAUUACCUUUGUAUCAUGAUACUUAUUUACACAAAUUUAUUUCUGCUGUGUAAACCGCCC
This 937-nucleotide long non-coding RNA is filed under the name Mytilus galloprovincialis (Mediterranean mussel). The record is from RNAcentral. Lineage: Eukaryota; Metazoa; Mollusca; Bivalvia; Mytilida; Mytilidae.